Molecule: ribosomal RNA, 1178 nt
Filed under: Sugarcane whiteleaf phytoplasma
Lineage: Bacteria; Bacillati; Mycoplasmatota; Mollicutes; Acholeplasmatales; Acholeplasmataceae
Description: SSU rRNA
Rfam family: Bacterial small subunit ribosomal RNA
Source: RNAcentral
GGUAUGCUUAAAGAGGGGCUUGCGUCACAUUAGUUAGUUGGCAGGGUAAAAGCCUACCAAGACUAUGAUGUGUAGCUGGACUGAGAGGUUGAACAGCCACAUUGGGACUGAGACACGGCCCAAACUCCUACGGGAGGCAGCAGUAGGGAAUUUUCGGCAAUGGAGGAAACUCUGACCGAGCAACGCCGCGUGAACGAUGAAGUAUUUCGGUAUGUAAAGUUCUUUUAUUGAAGAAGAAAAAAUAGUGGAAAAACUAUCUUGACGAUAUUCAAUGAAUAAGCCCCGGCAAACUAUGUGCCAGCAGCCGCGGUAAUACAUAGGGGGCGAGCGUUAUCCGGAAUUAUUGGGCGUAAAGGGUGCGUAGGCGGUUUAAUAAGUCUAUAGUUUAAUUUCAGUGCUUAACACUGUCCUGCUAUAGAAACUAUUAGACUAGAGUGAGAUAGAGGCAAGUGGAAUUCCAUGUGUAGCGGUAAAAUGCGUAAAUAUAUGGAGGAACACCAGAGGCGUAGGCGGCUUGCUGGGUCUUUACUGACGCUGAGGCACGAAAGCGUGGGGAGCAAACAGGAUUAGAUACCCUGGUAGUCCACGCCGUAAACGAUGAGUACUAAGUGUCGGGAUUACUCGGUACUGAAGUUAACACAUUAAGUACUCCGCCUGAGUAGUACGUACGCAAGUAUGAAACUUAAAGGAAUUGACGGGACUCCGCACAAGCGGUGGAUCAUGUUGUUUAAUUCGAAGAUACACGAAAAACCUUACCAGGUCUUGACAUACUCUGCAAAGCUAUAGCAAUAUAGUGGAGGUUAUCAGGGAUACAGGUGGUGCAUGGUUGUCGUCAGCUCGUGUCGUGAGAUGUUAGGUUAAGUCCUAAAACGAGCGCAACCCUUGUCAUUAGUUGCCAGCAUGUCAUGAUGGGCACUUUAAUGAGACUGCCAAUGAAAAAUUGGAGGAAGGUGAGGAUCACGUCAAAUCAUCAUGCCCCUUAUGAUCUGGGCUACAAACGUGAUACAAUGGGCUGUUACAAAAGAGUAGCUGAAACGUAAGUUUUAUAGCCAAUCUCAUAAAAGCAGUCUCCAGUUCGGAUUGAAGUCUGCAACUCCACUUCCUGAAGUUGGGAAUCGCUAGUAAAUCGCGAAUCAGCAUGUCCCCGGUGAUACGUUCCUCGGGGUUUGUACCCCCCC